GUGCUCACUUGGGCAGCACAUAUACUAAAAUUGGAACGAUACAGAGAAGAUUAGCAUGGCCCCUGCACAAGGAUGACAUGCAAAUUUGUGAAGCGUUCCAUAUUAAA
Myotis lucifugus (little brown bat) is the source of this 107-nucleotide small nuclear RNA. Lineage: Eukaryota; Metazoa; Chordata; Mammalia; Chiroptera; Vespertilionidae. The record is from Ensembl.